UACGGAGGGUGCAAGCGUUAUCCGGAUUCACUGGGUUUAAAGGGUGCGUAGGUGGGUUGGUAAGUCAGUGGUGAAAUCCCCGAGCUUAACUUGGGAACUGCCAUUGAUACUAUCAAUCUUGAAUACCGUGGAGGUCAGCGGAAUAUGUCAUGUAGCGGUGAAAUGCUUAGAUAUGACAUAGAACACCAAUUGCGAAGGCAGCUGGCUACACGAAUAUUGACACUGAGGCACGAAAGCGUGGGGAGCAAACAGG
RNAcentral lists this ribosomal RNA (253 nucleotides) under uncultured bacterium. RNAcentral's name for it is "partial 16S ribosomal RNA". It matches the Rfam family "Bacterial small subunit ribosomal RNA", at positions 524 to 776 of the family's 1533-position model. The record is from RNAcentral.